Long non-coding RNA from Temnothorax curvispinosus, 4052 nucleotides. RefSeq lists it as uncharacterized. The transcript is spliced from 2 exons. The record is from RefSeq and is a predicted model, not a curated record. Lineage: Eukaryota; Metazoa; Arthropoda; Insecta; Hymenoptera; Formicidae.
AGUGUACUAGUAAUAAAUAUAUCAUACGAAAUCUUUUUAUAUUGUAAUUGAAAAUUAACGUGCAUAAUACCUAGUCUACGUUAGAUCGAUCAUUUACGUUAGUCCUCAGGUGUUUGUUGAAAAUUAGUUUAUUAGUAAAUAAUAUACAAGAGAUUCGCAAAGGCAACGAAAUAAUGUGUUAGCUGGAUAUUUUCUAUUAUAAGCUGUCGCGCGGUGUGAGCAUAUUGAGCCGAAUCGCUUUCACUCUGAUCCCAUCUGGUGGAUGGGAUCUCCACAAUUCGACAUGUUGCAUGUAAAAACAAAGCAAUUUUUAUUGGCGCUUAAGAUUUCAAUCGAGGCAAUGACACAUGAACAUGCGCUUUGUGUAGCCAGACAAGUAAAAGUUACUCGGUUAUAUGAAAAGGGUUCAGUUCACCAUUUGAAGCUGCAUCAAGAAGGGAAUUUUAUUAUGAAGUAGGAGGAGACUCCCCAGGGAUUCUUCGAAGAUCACGGAUUGGGAUAAUAUUCUUUAAAACAAUAUGCGUGCUUUUUUGUAAGUUUACAUUCUACACACGACUAUGUUUUACCAUUCCACGUUUCCAUUAACGCAAAUCCCCAUGUCAUUAUUUGAACUUUAAAAAUUAGAAAAGAAAAAGAAAAAAAGAUAUAUGAAUAUUUUUUGGCGUGCAGACAUAUUUCCACAAUUAUCACAUUUAUUAUUUUAAUGAUACGGUCAAAAGUAUAAAUCAGAAGUUCCAACUUUUUUCAUUCCAACUUUUUUAGGACGUUCUUUAGCUUUAAAUAAAGUAUAUUGCAUGUUUUGCCAGUAUAUAUUUAUACAAUUCUGUUGAAUUGACAAAAGACAGAAUGACAAAUGGCAAUCAGGUGUGUUUUAAUAUAUAUAAACACGCCGUUUAUUUAACAUACAUUUUAUCUCGUUUAAAGCAAAGCCAUGCAAUAAAAAAAUUUCUUGACUUUGUGAUCUGUUUAUUGAAUGAAGAAGUGACAGAAUAUUAAAAAAUUACGCAUGAGAGCGAUAGUAAAAAAAUUUUUUACAUGGUGCGAAAAAUCGAGAAAUAUGAUUUUGUAGAUUAAUUAAAAAAAAUUUUUUUUACGGAAAUUCUAUGAAGUGAGUACCUACAGAAUGAAAUAUAGCGUUUACACAUCAAGUUUGAAACACAAGUUAUUUAUAUACAAUCAUUCAGUCUGACAAUGAGAUGUGAUGUAUUGUUAAUUAAAUAUCAUAUUCUGUAUUAUAUAAUAUAUCAUCAAUGACAUUCCGGAUCUUUCUCUGAUCCUGAAUAUGGAUAUACAAUAAUAAGUGUCUGCACGUUUUCAAUUGUUAGCAAGAUUAUUAUAAUCUAUAAUAAUAAUAAGGAUGUUCUCUGAUUGGAAUGUUAAGUAUACAGACUGAGUCUAAGAGGAAGAUUGGUAGUAAAUAUGUAUUCUUUGACGCGAAAUUUAUCAAGGUCCUUUAUUAUUGAAUGUUCCAUUUGAUCAAGAUUAAUUAGUAAUUAUAAUUAGGAACUAAAAAGAUAAUAUUAAAAUGCCAUGUUGAUAUACGUUUAUGUCCUGUAGAAACGAAUCAUGUAGUAGAAGAACUUAAAAACACAAAGUUUUCUGUUUUUAUUGAUGAAAUCAGAUAUUUCGAAUGAAAAAAUGGGUUUCAUGUUUGAUAUGUCAAUCCCGAGACAUUAGAAGUUCAUUCACAAUUAGCACAACUAAUUGAUGUGGAUAUACGGGCAGAUUCUAGUGCAGAGAAAUUAUUUAAUGCAUUUAAAAAUAAAAUGUACAAGCUCGAAAUAGCUUUUUGGAUUAUUAUCGUUUGUCAUGCAAUAAUGUGUCUCAUGACACUUAUUCUUGAAGAAAAAAUUGAAAGAGAUGUGCAAAAAUGUUUUGACGCCAUCAUGUCCAUGUCAUUCUGCCGCAUUAGCAAAUUAUUAAAUUAGAAGUUUAUGAAAUCAGUAUAGUUAGACUGCUACUUGAAGUUUCGUUAAAAAAAAAUCGAACAUAAAAACUACAUCUUUACUACCGAUUUUUCUUCAAAUAGAUCCAGACUAGGGACUCGAUAUAAUAAGAGACUGGCCAUAAGAUAGCCAGUUUUGAUUGGUCCGCCAGUUUUGUCAAAACCAAGAGAAAGAGAUAUAUCUAAGAGAGAAAGAGAAAGCGAUAUGAAUGUAUAUCCUUCUCUCUGGCAGGAGUUUGACAAAACUGGCCUUAUGGCCAAUCUCUUAUUAUAGGGUCUCUAAUCCAGACUAGUUAGGCAGUAUUAGUAUCUUUUUAGAAUAAUUAUAAUAAUAUAGUUAUCUUUAACUCUUAACUGAUAUUCGUUCUUAAAAUUCGUAUUUUAAGAGCUACUAUCGUUUUUUUGUAAUUUUUUCACUCUCAUCAAUGUUUUAGUCUCUAUCAUUAAACAGGCGGUUAUGAAUAAAAUGGAAAGUAGCGCAGUUCGAAUACAAAACGUGCUAGAUCCAUUUGAGCAUGAAUUUUAAUUUAUUUGAUCCUGAAUCCAUUAUUUUUCUUUCACACGUCUCAUUCUGCCAUUACUUAUAAACAUUAUUAUAUUAAUAUUUUAUUUUAUUUGUUUUAUUAUCGCGUUUCGUAUAAUAUAUUAAUCUACACUUUAAUAACUAUAGAUUUUUUAAAUAAAAAUAUCUAAUAUCUAAUAUCUCAAAAAUUUACAUGUUAGGCCGAUGAUCCGGCCGAUGACUGAAAUACAUCCUAUUUUGUUUAUUUUACGUAUAUGUUACUUUCCUGAUUGAGUAGUAAAUAUCACAGCACAGUUAAGAGUUAAAGUAUAUUUUAAUAUUAUUUUGGGAUUUAUCUCCUACCAUGAUGAUCGCAUUUAGGCGACAAAAAUUGAAUUUAAAUUUAGUUUCUUGGCAGUAGGAUUAGGAACGUUUAACGCGACUAAUAAAUACAUAUAUACAUGCCUCUGCAUCUUUGUUGAAGAGUUACAUCGCGUACCGUGUAUUUUUAUGAAGCUUAAAAGCGUGCGUACGUAUAGCGUAGCGAAAUGUAAAAGUUAUCGAUUUUCGUGUCCAAUGCAGUUGUUGAAAUGUAUCGAGAUAUUUUGUUACAUAAGUGUACACCGUUGAAACGUGCAAUCGAAGUAUAUACCAACGUGUAUUAGAAAUCUCGAUUUGUACUUCCAUAUUAAAGAUCAGACAAUAAGUUAAGUACAUUCCUAAAUGUUCGCUUGUAACAUUUAUACGUUACGAUAUGAUAUAUACACGCGCGUUUUACACACAUAUCUAAAUAAUAAUGGAUGUAAUCGAAUCCGAUUCGCAUUCCCAGAAGGUAUUCGUGUCCAAUAAACAGCGUGCUCGUUUCAAGUGUUCAACGCACGCAGUUACUUCUCUUUAAAGAUUUAGAAGAGUAUAAAAUAUACAUAUAUAUAUACACGCUCUUUGUUCGAUUUUCCAUAUCUAAACAGCCUUUUUGUUACAUAUAAAUAUCGCUUGAAAAAUUAUAAAGCUUUAAAAGUUUAAAAGCGGGAUGAUAUUGUUACACGAUAUAUCUACUAUAAAAGAAAGAGAGAGAGAGAGAGGGAGAGAGAGCGGGAGAUUUAUACUUAUACAUUAUAUCUCCGUCUUUUACAACUCGACUAAACGUUAUAUUUCGCGUAUCUGCGUAAUGGCAUUUCUUCCACUUUAUUUUAGUCGUCCAAGUAUUCUUAUGCGUACUUUAUUAAGCAAAGGAUCUUAAUAUACGUUUAGAUCGAACUAACAAGGCACGUAACAUUUUUAUCCUUGCACCUUGCAACGACGCACGAUCGGUCCGCGACACGCAGACGCGGUCGUGAACGUCGCGUUUUACAUUACGUUAAAUUUUCGAGUUAUAGAAAGCAGCGUUAGUGUACAUACUUUGUCGCAAACGAAUCAAAAUAGUUUGAUAAGUUUAUCUCUUUGUUGCUACCGCUCUGAUGGUACUGAUGUUUGACGAAACGAUCGGACUGUAGGAUAAGGCUCUAUCGAUGUUAAGAAUGAAAUAUGUAUUACGUUAAGAGACCAAAUGUUGCAUUGACAAAAGACGAUGCUUUGUGCUCCGUCCAAAAAUAAAGCACAUAAAAA